UGGGGAAUAUUGCGCAAUGGGCGAAAGCCUGACGCAGCGACGCCGCGUGAGGGAUGACGGCCUUCGGGUUGUAAACCUCUUUCAGCUCUGACGAAGCGAAAGUGACGGUAGGAGCAGAAGAAGCACCGGCCAACUACGUGCCAGCAGCCGCGGUAAUACGUAGGGUGCAAGCGUUGUCCGGAAUUAUUGGGCGUAAAGAGCUCGUAGGCGGUCUGUCGCGUCGAAUGUGAAAACCCGGGACUCAACUCCGGGCCUGCAUUCGAUACGGGCAGACUAGAGUUCGGUGGGGGAGACUGGAAUUCCUGGUGUAGCGGUGAAAUGCGCAGAUAUCAGGAGGAACACCGGUGGCGAAGGCGGGUCUCUGGGCCGAUACUGACGCUGAGGAGCGAAAGCGUGGGGAGCGAAC
Molecule: ribosomal RNA, 406 nt
Filed under: uncultured bacterium
Lineage: Bacteria
Description: bacterial SSU rRNA
Rfam family: Bacterial small subunit ribosomal RNA
Source: RNAcentral